RNAcentral lists this transfer RNA (67 nucleotides) under Diplectrona hexapetala (nom. nud.). RNAcentral's name for it is "tRNA-Glu". The record is from RNAcentral. Lineage: Eukaryota; Metazoa; Arthropoda; Insecta; Trichoptera; Hydropsychidae.
GUUUAUAUAGUUUAACUAAAAACAUUACAUUUUCACUGUAAACAUAAACAAUUUAGUUUUAUAAAUA